AGUUCGUUGAUUCUUG
This 16-nucleotide small RNA is filed under the name Arabidopsis thaliana (thale cress). RNAcentral's name for it is "ATSL017460". Lineage: Eukaryota; Viridiplantae; Streptophyta; Magnoliopsida; Brassicales; Brassicaceae. The record is from RNAcentral.